Cyprinus carpio (common carp) is the source of this 1586-nucleotide long non-coding RNA. RefSeq lists it as uncharacterized. The record is from RefSeq and is a predicted model, not a curated record. Lineage: Eukaryota; Metazoa; Chordata; Actinopteri; Cypriniformes; Cyprinidae. The transcript has 6 exons.
CUUAUUUGAUUAAUGUAAGUCAAUAUGUAAUUGUACAAUAAGAAACAAAUUGCUUAAAAUACAGUUAUUUGCAUUCAGCAACCUAUUAUAUUCUGUGUCCAUCGCCUUUUUGUAGCUGCAGGAACAGGUGCCUCUUCAUUUAAGUACACUUUAUACUCCAUAUCCUUCAAAAAGAAACACGUCAGUGUUAUUUCUUUGUAAAUAUAAUAAAGAAUAUAUUUUUUGCAUUACCCGAAUAGCUUAAUCCAAAUGAGAACAUUUCCUAAAAAUGACUACAAUAACGAAUCUGGGUAUUUGACAAAAUUGACUUAGUUAAUUGGAAGACAUAUUUUAUUUUAGAAGGCUAUUUUUUUAAAGAAAAGAAAAGUUUGGUCGUAAAAGUCUUAUUGUUGUCUUUCACCCUGAAAAAGAAGCUCGUGUAAUUUACAUAAAGAACCGGUAAAUUAAUCUUUUCACUGAGGUGACGUGUUUCAUUGACGUCCACUUGCUUCGCGUAGCCGAUUCACGUGACAUCAUUGCACGUCAUUCAUCAACUGUCACUUUGUAUCGUGAAGAUUAGAAAUAAAUGAUCUGCACCGGACGAGACCGUGAGUCGCUGGCUGGCCUGGUUGCGUUAAAGAGAGCAAAGAUACCCUCAGGAGGAGGAUGUUUAGGCUAGAGGGGAAAAGAAAAAAUCAGCCAUGUUUGCAAAAUGAUGCAAAAAGAGUAGCAAAGAAAAAAAAAAAACGUACACUCCAACUCAUUCCCCAUCUCACUCCAAAACGUCCUCAUCAUCUGAUCAAGAGCCUCCAGUCAAACAUCAGGUCAUCCACCGAAAGGACAGUAUGUUAAUGCAAGAGAUUAACAGCAUGGAGAGUCAAGCUGGAGAGCAUUCAAGCCGAGAAACUCAACUUGAGAGAGAAAUUCUCAAAUUAAAAAAAAGAAAAUGAGAAUCUAAGAGCACUUAAUAUAGCUCUGCAACAAGAAAUUCUUCCAAUGCUCAAGUGCAGCAUGAACCAGGACACUCUUGUUGCUCAACAACCACAAGAUUCAAGUCAGAAGAAUCCCCCUGAAAAGACACAGGGGCUAGGAAUUAGUUCAGCUGUCCUGACAAGUUGUGGACGGGGGGGGCACAUCAUGUUCUGCCAUGGUGAAAGAUCUGGCAGUGGCAGUGUUUGGGAGAGAGACACUGGCCACACAUGGGCUGUCUGGAAGGGGCUGGCAAUGCUAACACAGGCGCUAUGGCAAAGCCAGCUCUUGACCAGGACAAAGUUGUGCUGAUCCUAGGUGAGAAAAAUGUCCUGCUUUUUUUCUUUACGCAAACAUGAUGUUGCAGUUAUAGUGCAAAAUUGUAAUAAUGUUAUCACAUAUGAUAAGUGGAAUUGCAUUUACAGACACAGUACAAAAAAAGUUCCCUGAUGUUCCAAAAAAGUUCAUCAGGGCAACACUAAGAGAAAAGUUAAAUGAUAAGCACAAGUUACGAGUAAGGUAAUAAUUUGUCAUACACACAACACACUCGCUCAUGCGCUUUCUCUCUCUCUCUCACCUCACACACCCUCAUGCUCUCUCACACACAAACACAUACUCAUGCUCUCCCUCUCUCUCUC